UACGUAGGGUGCAAGCGUUGUCCGGAAUUAUUGGGCGUAAAGAGCUCGUAGGCGGUUUGUUGCGUCGGCUGUGAAAACCCGGAGCUCAACUCCGGGCCUGCAGUCGAUACGGGCAGACUUGAGUACUGCAGGGGAGACUGGAAUUCCUGGUGUAGCGGUGAAAUGCGCAGAUAUCAGGAGGAACACCGGUGGCGAAGGCGGGUCUCUGGGCAGUUACUGACGCUGAGGAGCGAAAGCGUGGGGAGCGAACAGG
Molecule: ribosomal RNA, 253 nt
Filed under: uncultured bacterium
Lineage: Bacteria
Description: partial 16S ribosomal RNA
Rfam family: Bacterial small subunit ribosomal RNA
Source: RNAcentral